Molecule: ribosomal RNA, 133 nt
Filed under: uncultured bacterium
Lineage: Bacteria
Description: partial 16S ribosomal RNA
Source: RNAcentral
UAGUGGUACCAUCAAUCCUUCCGGCUAUUGACCGAAAGCCUUUUUCCCACUUGACAGAGCUUUACGACCCGAAAGCCUUCUUCACUCACGCGGCGUUGCUGCGUCAGGGUUUCCCCCAUUGCGCAAAAUUCCU